This 251-nucleotide ribosomal RNA is filed under the name uncultured bacterium. RNAcentral's name for it is "partial 16S ribosomal RNA". It matches the Rfam family "Bacterial small subunit ribosomal RNA", at positions 525 to 776 of the family's 1533-position model. The record is from RNAcentral.
ACGUAUGUCGCAAGCGUUAUCCGGAUUUAUUGGGCGUAAAGCGCGUCUAGGCGGUUUGGUAAGUCUGAUGUGAAAAUGCGGGGCUCAACUCCGUAUUGCGUUGGAAACUGCCAAACUAGAGUACUGGAGAGGUGGGCGGAACUACAAGUGUAGAGGUGAAAUUCGUAGAUAUUUGUAGGAAUGCCGAUGGGGAAGCCAGCCCACUGGACAGAUACUGACGCUAAAGCGCGAAAGCGUGGGUAGCAAACAGG